This 56-nucleotide microRNA precursor is filed under the name Echinops telfairi (small Madagascar hedgehog). RNAcentral describes it as "Ete-Mir-185_pre stem-loop". It matches the Rfam family "mir-185 microRNA precursor family", at positions 14 to 69 of the family's 79-position model. The record is from RNAcentral. Lineage: Eukaryota; Metazoa; Chordata; Mammalia; Afrosoricida; Tenrecidae.
UGGAGAGAAAGGCAGUCCCUGAUGGUCCCCUCCCCAGGGGCUGGUUUUCCUCUGGU